GCUAAGACAGGAAGAGGUGAGGUCCUGAGUUGUUAUGAAAACAAACGCUGAGGUUAGGGAGGCCCUGUGAAGUGAGCGCCUGGUGUACACCUAUUUUUAGAUAUGAAAAACACAGCAGGGCUCAGCUAGGAAGUAAACAAGCAGCAAGUGAGUCCUCAGUCUCCACCGUGCGUGGUGUGGAUGGAGGGGGGGAAGCAGGGCCAGGAGGGUCUAACCUGCUUCCCUUCUGAAAGGGCAGACUGGAAAAGGGCCUCCCUUUUGUCUCCCCCAACCCCAUUUUAAACAUCGUGGGGCUGGGAUGCACUUAGCUACCUUUUAGCUCCAUGACAAAGCCUUGGAGCACAAGGCCCGCCUUGGGAGCAGGGGACUGAGUGACAUUUGAAGCACUUUCCCUUUGAAAGGUUUGGAACGGAAAGAGGUCACAAGAAUCCAGGGGAGCUCUCCAACCAGAAACCCAGAGGCAAGAACCUUCCUGCUCUGCUCACCUUGAACCCCAAGUGACCUUGACUUCAUCUGCUCCAAGGGAAGUCGACUGUGACCUUUUUGUUGUCAGAUCUCACUGACCUCCAAGCAUCGGCUUCUUCCUUAAUCGCCUAGCCACACGGACGAGGCUGACAUCCUGUUUGCUGUGUUCAAGGAUGCGCCACUGAUCUCCACAGUCUGCCUCUGUAGCCUGUGUGUAUUAAGCCUCUCGGAAGACACUGCCCAGAUAUCCCACACAUCCCCCACACCACAGGUUCCUUCCAGAUCUGAUUUUCCUGCAGCCUUCCCUACUUCGGAAGGGAGACCUUUCUUCAUCGCCCUCCCGUGAAUACUGAGCUUGACAUUCUUUUUUUUUUUUCUUUUCUUUUUUUUUUUUUUUUCUUUUUUCAGAGCUGGGGACCGAACCCAGGGCCUUGUGCUGAGCUUGACAUUCUUGUCUUCAUCUUCCACAUCUCCUCAUGACCUCUUGCACUCCCUAUCGUCCUUCAUUUUAUUUAUUGUAUCUUGGGGUGGGUAGCACAGGCAUGUGUAUGCACAUAGGUGUGCGAGUGUGCACCAGCCCAUGCAUGUGCAUGUGGAAGCCAGAGGUCAAAGGUCAAUGUCAGGCGUCUUCUACUUCUCUCCGCCUUAUUUUACAUUUUAAAAGAUUUUUUUUAAAUUUAUAUUCGUUUAUGUGCUUGAGUGUUUUGCCUGCUGGUAUGUAUGUGUACAAUUGGGUGUGCCUGGUGCCCACAGGGGUCAGAAGAGAGCAUUGGAUCCCCUGGAGCUGGAAUUAUAGAUGGUCGAGAGCUGUCAUAUGGGCGCUGGGAAUAGAACCUGGGUCCUCUGCAAGAGCACCAAGGGCUCUCAAGUUCUUUCUAGCCCCCUCCCCCCACACACACACCUUGUUUUUGUGGUUUUUUUUUCCCCCUCAGGGGAGAGCACGAACGCAGUCCCCCACAACCACAAAUUAUGCAGUUGAGUUUCCCGCAUUUGGGGAAAUCGCAGGGAUCAGCACAUCCGGAGUGCAAUGGAUAAGCCUCACCCUGGGAAAACCACCUUCGUGAUCAUGGUAUCUCCCCUGCCAGACAGAGUUGGCUGGCCUGGAACUCUGAACUGCACAGAGAAACCCUAUUUCGAAAAACCCAGAAACCAAAACCAAAUAAAUAAAAGUACUUGCCGCUCUUA
Molecule: non-coding RNA, 1650 nt
Organism: Rattus norvegicus (Norway rat)
Lineage: Eukaryota; Metazoa; Chordata; Mammalia; Rodentia; Muridae
Source: RefSeq, a predicted model, not a curated record